This 2892-nucleotide ribosomal RNA is filed under the name Stenotrophomonas sp. ZAC14D2_NAIMI4_6. Its description in RNAcentral is "23S ribosomal RNA". It matches the Rfam family "Bacterial large subunit ribosomal RNA". The record is from RNAcentral. Lineage: Bacteria; Pseudomonadati; Pseudomonadota; Gammaproteobacteria; Lysobacterales; Lysobacteraceae.
GUUAUAUGGUCAAGCGAAUAAGCGCACACGGUGGAUGCCUUGGCGGUCAGAGGCGAUGAAGGACGUGGCAGCCUGCGAAAAGUAUCGGGGAGCUGGCAACAAGCUUUGAUCCGGUAAUGUCCGAAUGGGGAAACCCACCCGCUUGCGGGUAUCCUGCAGUGAAUACAUAGCUGCUGGAAGCGAACCUGGUGAACUGAAAUAUCUAAGUAACCAGAGGAAAAGAAAUCAACCGAGAUUCCGUAAGUAGCGACGAGCGAACGCGGACUAGCCCUUAAGCUGAUUUGGUUCUAGGAAAACGCUCUGGAAAGAGCGGCCAUAGAAGGUGAUAGCCCUGUAUCUGAAAGGGCCAUUUCAGUGAAGACGAGUAGGGCGGGGCACGUGAAACCCUGUCUGAACAUGGGGGGACCAUCCUCCAAGGCUAAAUACUACUGACCGACCGAUAGUGAACCAGUACCGUGAGGGAAAGGCGAAAAGAACCCCGGAGAGGGGAGUGAAAUAGAACCUGAAACCGUGUGCGUACAAGCAGUAGGAGCUCCGCAAGGAGUGACUGCGUACCUUUUGUAUAAUGGGUCAGCGACUUACUGUUCGUGGCAAGCUUAACCGUAUAGGGGAGGCGAAGGGAAACCGAGUCUGAUAAGGGCGCAUAGUCGCGGGCAGUAGACCCGAAACCGGGUGAUCUAGUCAUGCCCAGGGUGAAGGUGCGGUAACACGCACUGGAGGCCCGAACCCACUCCCGUUGCAAAGGUAGGGGAUGAGGUGUGAUUAGGAGUGAAAAGCUAAUCGAACCCGGAGAUAGCUGGUUCUCCUCGAAAGCUAUUUAGGUAGCGCCUCAUAUGUAUCCUCUCGGGGGUAGAGCACUGUUAUGGCUAGGGGGUCAUCGCGACUUACCAAACCAUUGCAAACUCCGAAUACCGAGACGGACUGUAUGGGAGACACACGGCGGGUGCUAACGUCCGUCGUGAAAAGGGAAACAACCCAGACCCACAGCUAAGGUCCCAAAUUUUGUGCUAAGUGGAAAACCAUGUGGAAAGGCACAGACAGCCAGGAGGUUGGCUUAGAAGCAGCCACCCUUUAAAGAAAGCGUAAUAGCUCACUGGUCGAGUCGGUCUGCGGGGAAGAUUUAACGGGGCUAAGCACAGAACCGAAGCUUGGGGUGCAUACUUUGUAUGCGCGGUAGAGGAGCGUUCCGUAAGCCGUUGAAGGUGGAUUGAGAAGUCUGCUGGAGGUAUCGGAAGUGCGAAUGCUGACAUGAGUAACGAUAAUGCGGGUGAAAAACCCGCACGCCGAAAGCCCAAGGUUUCCUUGCGCAACGUUAAUCGGCGCAGGGUGAGUCGGCCCCUAAGGCGAGGACGAAAGUCGUAGUCGAUGGGAAGCAGGUUAAUAUUCCUGCACCUCGCGUAAGUGCGAUGGAGGGACGGAGAAGGUUAGGUGUACCAGGCGUUGGUUGUCCUGGGGAAAGGCGGUAGGUUUGGAUCUUUGGCAAAUCCGGGAUCCUUUAAGACCGAGCACCGAGACGAGCCUUUAUGGCGAAGUCACUGAUACCACGCUUCCAGGAAAAGCUCCUAAGCUUCAGCUUACGCAGACCGUACCGUAAACCGACACAGGUGGGUAGGAUGAGAAUUCUCAGGCGCUUGAGAGAACUCGGGUGAAGGAACUAGGCAACAUGGCACCGUAACUUCGGGAGAAGGUGCACCCUUGGUGGUGGCUCAUGCGAGCACAAGCUACCGAGGGUCGCAGUAACCAGGCCGCUGCGACUGUUUAUCAAAAACACAGCACUCUGCAAACACGAAAGUGGACGUAUAGGGUGUGACGCCUGCCCGGUGCUGGAAGGUUAAUUGAUGGGGUCAGCCGCAAGGCGAAGCUCUUGAUCGAAGCCCCAGUAAACGGCGGCCGUAACUAUAACGGUCCUAAGGUAGCGAAAUUCCUUGUCGGGUAAGUUCCGACCUGCACGAAUGGCGUAACGACAGCGGCGCUGUCUCCACCCGAGACUCAGUGAAAUUGAAAUCGCUGUGAAGAUGCAGCGUUCCCGUGGCAAGACGGAAAGACCCCGUGAACCUUUACUAUAGCUUUACACUGAACGUUGAGUUCGUCUGUGUAGGAUAGGUGGGAGGCUAUGAAACUGUGGCGCUAGCUGCAGUGGAGCCAUCCUUGAAAUACCACCCUGUCGUGCUUGACGUUCUAACCUGGGCCCAUUAUCUGGGUCGGGGACCGUGUAUGGUGGGUAGUUUGACUGGGGCGGUCUCCUCCUAAAGAGUAACGGAGGAGCUCGAAGGUACGCUCAGCGCGGUCGGACAUCGCGCACUGUGUGCAAAGGCAUAAGCGUGCUUGACUGCAAGAUCGACGGAUCAAGCAGGUAGGAAACUAGGACUUAGUGAUCCGGUGGUUCUGUAUGGAAGGGCCAUCGCUCAACGGAUAAAAGGUACUCCGGGGAUAACAGGCUGAUACCGCCCAAGAGUUCAUAUCGACGGCGGUGUUUGGCACCUCGAUGUCGGCUCAUCACAUCCUGGGGCUGUAGUCGGUCCCAAGGGUAUGGCUGUUCGCCAUUUAAAGUGGUACGCGAGCUGGGUUCAGAACGUCGUGAGACAGUUCGGUCCCUAUCUGCCAUGGGCGUUGGAGAUUUGAGAGGGGCUGCUCCUAGUACGAGAGGACCGGAGUGGACGAACCUCUGGUGUUCCGGUUGUCACGCCAGUGGCAUUGCCGGGUAGCUAUGUUCGGAAGCGAUAACCGCUGAAAGCAUCUAAGCGGGAAGCGCGCCUCAAGAUGAGAUCUCCCGGGGCACAAGCCCCCUGAAGGAACCAUGUAGACUACGUGGUUGAUAGGUCAGGUGUGUAAGCGCAGCAAUGCGUUGAGCUAACUGAUACUAAUGAUCCGUGCGGCUUGACCAUAUAACCU